UGGCCCUACGGGGGGCAGCAGUGGGGGAUAUUGCACAAUGGGGGGAACCCUGAUGCAGCGACGCCGCGUGGGUGAAGAAGCGCCUCGGCGCGUAAAGCCCUGUCAGCAGGGAAGAAAAUGACGGUACCUGAAGAAGAAGCCCCGGCUAACUACGUGCCAGCAGCCGCGGUAAUACGUAGGGGGCAAGCGUUAUCCGGAUUUAUUGGGUGUAAAGGGUGCGUAGACGGGAAAGCAAGUUAGUUGUGAAAUCCCUCGGCUUAACUGAGGAACUGCAACUAAAACUACUUUUCUUGAGUGCAGGAGAG
This 305-nucleotide ribosomal RNA is filed under the name uncultured bacterium. Its description in RNAcentral is "bacterial SSU rRNA". It matches the Rfam family "Bacterial small subunit ribosomal RNA", at positions 334 to 656 of the family's 1533-position model. The record is from RNAcentral.